AUCCGAAUGUCCAGACGAUGGAUUAGCACCGUAACCACCGGGAGAUCCGUAAGCGCCGUGAGGUUUGUCUUUAUGCGGCUUAUGAUCUCCGGCAGGAGACGCGUAUGGGGCGGACGGUGGUGCACCGUAUGGCGAGGAGGACGGUGGAGGUUGCGCGCCGUACGGAACAGCGUACGGUGAGGAUCCGUGCGGUGGAGGAUUGGUGCCGGAGGAUCCGUAAGGUUGAGGCGGUGGUGGGUUUCCGCCGUAACCGCCGUAACCUUGGCUCGAUGGAGGGUAACCAGACAUGGCGAAUAAAGCUUUCAGAGAGAUCACACACUAGUGGAAAUUUGUCUGCGAAAUUUGGG
Molecule: long non-coding RNA, 347 nt
Filed under: Eutrema salsugineum
Lineage: Eukaryota; Viridiplantae; Streptophyta; Magnoliopsida; Brassicales; Brassicaceae
Description: long non-coding RNA (ESAL_LNC001666)
Source: RNAcentral